Molecule: unclassified non-coding RNA, 263 nt
Filed under: plant metagenome
Description: partial contains small subunit ribosomal RNA, internal transcribed spacer 1, and 5.8S ribosomal RNA
Source: RNAcentral
UUUCCGUAGGUGAACCUGCGGAAGGAUCAUUAUUGUAUAACCGAGGUGCGAGGGCCGUCGCUGACCCGAAAGGUCGUGCACGCCCGAGUGCCCUCACACACAUCCAUCUCACCCCUAUGUGCACCACCGCGUGGGUCCCCCUUUGGCUUGUUCGGAGGGGGGCUUACGUUUUCACACAAACUUUGUAUGCAGUGUAGAAUGUAUUUUUUGUUUUUGCGAUCACGCAAUCAAUACAACUUUCAACAACGGAUCUCUUGGCUCUG